Molecule: ribosomal RNA, 259 nt
Filed under: uncultured bacterium
Lineage: Bacteria
Description: partial 16S ribosomal RNA
Rfam family: Bacterial small subunit ribosomal RNA
Source: RNAcentral
UUCCUACGGGGGGCAGCAGUGGGGGAUAUUGCACAAUGGGGGGAACCCUGAUGCAGCGACGCCGCGUGGGUGAAGAAGCGCCUCGGCGCGUAAAGCAUUGUCAGCAGGGAAGAAAAUGACGGUAACUGAAGAAGAAGCCCCGGCUAACUACGUGCAAGCAGCCGCGGUAAUACGUAGGGGGCAAGCGUUAUCCGGAUUUACUGGGUGUAAAGGGGGCGCAGAAGGCGAUGCAAGGCAGGAGUGAAAGCCCGGGGCACAA